AGGUACGCUUAACCCUUCCGGGAGGCGCUUGCCACGGUGUGGCCGAUGACGUGGGUG
Molecule: ribosomal RNA, 57 nt
Filed under: uncultured bacterium
Lineage: Bacteria
Description: partial 16S ribosomal RNA
Source: RNAcentral